CCUUCCUAUCUCUACAUGUCUGCACUUCAUCAUCUGAGGAAAGAUGCAAUUGCAAUGACAGAACUAGACCUUGUUAUGCUAUGAGUAAUAUUACACACAGUCCGGCACUUCUGGAGGGAAUCUUGAGCACUGGUGCUUUAUAUACAUGAUAAACAAGGGGAAUUUGGUUUGCAUUUGAGGUAAUUUAUUGUAUACGCCGCUUCAUGUGUAGCUGCUGCUGUGCUGUUCUUUUAUGCCAAGAUUCAUUACAUAUAAUGGCUUAGCUAACAUCUCUGGGACUUCUUAGAAGAUGUGUUAAAGAGCCCUAAAAGAAAAGUAUGCAGAUUAUAGCCUCCCAUGUUUUUUGUAAAUGUUUUAAACAUUUGGAAUGUGUCAUUAAAAUUUUAAGAGAAGGAACAGAAGGAAAUCACAGUAGUGAGUAUUUGCUUCUUUCUGCUCAUUUUUGGAUAAUGAAUUUUCUGCUUAUUGUAGCAUGUUUUGUCAUUCUUUGUCUGUUGACUAGCAGAGGGCUCAAACAGUUAUUAUAUCAGUCAGUAAAAGCAGUGUUGUGUAGCACUCAAUAAAUAUUCCAGGUAGUCCUGACUCUCUAAAAUCUUUCUGCUUUGUAUUUGUUACAGAGAUGGAGAGCAGAAGUAAAAUGGAGAUAAAAGAAUAUUGGAUCAGAACAGUGCGUCUAGAUCCUCUUAGCACUUCCUUUGCAGACGGGUCAUGGGUACGAUGGGGAGUCCCUUGGUCAGGACCUGGCAAAGACACGGGAGAGAGAAGCCCGUCUCUCCUUACAGUGCUGCUGGUGUUCCUGCUUGUGCAAAGCAAGCAGGAAGCCACCAGAGCUGUCACGGCUCCUGUUCCUGCCCAGGUAGUUGUUGGCAGCAAGAGUGAUGGCUACAAGGUAUGUACAAAUGGGAAUUUUACCUGGGAAAUGAUGCUGUCUAAUGUUUUGGUGAGUAUGAAAAGUCUAAACGUGCACGUAACCCGGUGGUCUUCAUCAUGGGUCAACCUGCAUUCAGCUGAGAUUAGCCACAAACUAAACUGA
Molecule: long non-coding RNA, 1033 nt
Filed under: Anser cygnoides (Swan goose)
Lineage: Eukaryota; Metazoa; Chordata; Aves; Anseriformes; Anatidae
Description: lncRNA (ENSACDG00005012136.1)
Source: RNAcentral